AGCAGAACAGGCCAUGUCACAGGACUGGCUCACACAGUAGAAGGGACUUGUCUAAAGCGCAGGUACUCUUUGGAUCUCUGCGCAGGCAAACUUCCUAAGCUCCAUCCACAUCUCCACUGAAUGCUGUGUUGCUUUGAAAUUUCAUCAGCCCAACAAACUCAUCCACCCCUUUGAAUUCAGCCUCACUCAGAAGUGUCGUGCACCAGCACAGAGGAGCCAUGUUCUCCAGCAGGAUGUUCUCGAAAUGGCCUUCAGUUGGAUUUCUGAUCAAGCUCUCUCUUCUCUCCUGGAGCCUCAUGAACGUAGCCUUCCCUUCUCUCAACAUUCUGGCCUUCCACAAUCUCUUCUACAGGAUCACCUGCUCCACUCUGUUUGUGGUGUUUGAGGGCUUCUCUGGCCUGUGUAGCUACAAACUCUUUUACAUUCCUCUCCCAAACCACUUCCAACACACCAUUAGUCAUAUGUCUAGGUUUAUCACAACAACUCCCCUUACCAGUGCCACUAUCAAUAGUCUCAUGGUGCUGACGGAAGACUGUUUUGACUUGAGAAGUACAGUCCAGCAUGGUGAACAAAUCAUGGGCUGCAUUUGGUUUGUGGCAGACAGGGACCAAAGAGGAACUUGCCAGAACUAGAACCAGGCUUCAGGACAAAAGGCCUGCACCACAACAAACAACUUCCUUCAGCUGGGCUUCAUAUUCAAACAGUUCCACAGCCUCCCAAAACAGUGCCACCAGCUUGAGACUAAGUUCCCAAACUAAUGAGCCAUCCUUUGAAUCAUACUCAAAGCAUGACCAUGUGAACCAGUCUUUACACAUUCAUAUACUGGAUGCAGACACAUCUAGGUGAGGUGGUUCUAUACAAUUUUAUUAGGCUAGAAAAUCUGCAGCCUAGUGACUGAUUGAAGAACAAUACACUACUUGUCUGUGGUAAUGCUAUGAUCAAAAAUCAAAGUGCUGGUGGGGACUGGAGAGAUGGGGGUCACAUGCCAAGACCCCUCAAGCUAUAAUUUUCCUGAUUUCAAAAUGGAGUGAACAGACCUAUCAAGUCCUGCUCACUCCUGCAGCUCAGUCCUGCCUGCCUUGUGUUCAGAACACUUAAACUAAUUACACUGAGGCAAAGCCAUGCCACCCAAAGCCUAAUUUAUACUUAAGUGUUCAAUAUUAAACAUAGUCCUGAGAGAC
This 1181-nucleotide long non-coding RNA is filed under the name Mus caroli (Ryukyu mouse). RNAcentral's name for it is "predicted gene 43262 (MGP_CAROLIEiJ_G0004964.1)". Lineage: Eukaryota; Metazoa; Chordata; Mammalia; Rodentia; Muridae. The record is from RNAcentral.